Molecule: transfer RNA, 67 nt
Filed under: Gonepteryx rhamni (common brimstone butterfly)
Lineage: Eukaryota; Metazoa; Arthropoda; Insecta; Lepidoptera; Pieridae
Description: tRNA-Glu
Source: RNAcentral
AUUUAUAUAGUUUAUUUACAACUUUACAUUUUCAAUGUAAAAAUAAAAUUUUAUAUUUUUAUAAAUA